CAGCCGCCGCGGUAAUACGAAGGGUGCAAGCGUUAAUCGGAAUCACUGGGCGUAAAGGGAGCGUAGGCGGCGUGGUAAGUCAGAUGUGAAAUCCCGGGGCUCAACCCCGGAACUGCAUCCGAUACUGCCAUGCUAGAGGAUUGGAGAGGUAGCUGGAAUUCUUGGUGUAGCAGUGAAAUGCGUGGAGACCAAGAGGAACACUCGUGGCGAAAGCGAGCUACUGGACAAUAUCUGACGCUGAGGCUCGAAGGCCAGGGUAGCGAAAGGGAUUAGAUACCCCCGUAGUCCCUGUCUCUUAUAC
RNAcentral lists this ribosomal RNA (301 nucleotides) under uncultured bacterium. Its description in RNAcentral is "partial 16S ribosomal RNA". It matches the Rfam family "Bacterial small subunit ribosomal RNA", at positions 509 to 807 of the family's 1533-position model. The record is from RNAcentral.